This 926-nucleotide long non-coding RNA is filed under the name Ananas comosus (pineapple). Its description in RNAcentral is "long non-coding RNA (ACOM_LNC006287)". The record is from RNAcentral. Lineage: Eukaryota; Viridiplantae; Streptophyta; Magnoliopsida; Poales; Bromeliaceae.
ACACUUUAUUUUCUAUGCCUACCUGCUAUCACAAUACUUACAUUAAUAAAUUAAGUGUUAAAGAACCGUUGUAUUCUAAAAAUUUAAGCUGCUCCUCACGUCUGUACUUGAGAUUUUUUUUUUUUAGUCGGUUCAUAACGUGGGCUUGAAUUAGACGGAAAAAAUCUAAUAUGCUAGAACUCUGGCAUGACUCGAAUUCAAAAUUUCCUACUUGAUACCAUAUUAAAAAAUCAUUGUAAUCUAAAAAUUUAAACGGUUAGAAAAUGAUUUUCAUAUAUUUUUAUAUUUAAUAUUAAGUUAAAGAAAAAAAUAAUAAUAAUUGGCCAUGUUGCGACACAAUUGGCGAGCACUGCUGCACCAGAGCGCGUUCACACAACUGGCACACGCGCUUUUUGUGUGGAUGGUGAUCAAAGAUGAACUUUUAACGGUCAUUAUUCGCGAGACCAUAUUCCCGUAAUUAUGCGGACGCAAUAUCCCAGUUGGUGUAUGACACGCUUAACCAUGUGAGGGUCGGUGGUUAAAUUAUAGUUUAUUUCUUCGGAUCAUUACCUAAAUUGAUUAGAUUCUAAAUUAAGGAUUUAUUUAUGAAGGUUUUACAGAAAUGCAAUGGAUUAUGAACAUUUUGUUUUGCGUUUGUUCUAAUCGAAUUGCUUGAUAUACAAUUAAUGUCACGCAAUUACAGCACCGCAUAAUGUCCUCAAAUCAAACAUUUUAUAUCUCUCUCUCAUCGAUAAAUUGGUUUUGUUUUUCAAAAGAUAAAGAAUCGGAUGCUUGGAUCAUGCAUCUCCUUCAUCCCAAAUACUUUUUGUCUCGAACUCAAAAAGUAUCAAUCUGCCAAAAUGUUGAUGCCAAAAUACACAUGGAUCUGAACUCCUGACCUAACCCGGUCUAAUCAUGAUUCAGACCUGACCAAUUUGUUAUCCAAU